This 2138-nucleotide long non-coding RNA is filed under the name Phaseolus vulgaris (common bean). Its description in RNAcentral is "long non-coding RNA (PVUL_LNC005070)". Lineage: Eukaryota; Viridiplantae; Streptophyta; Magnoliopsida; Fabales; Fabaceae. The record is from RNAcentral.
CAAAAUUAAAAUAAAGAAUGACCAAAUUUCUUAGUAAAGCAUGAAAUCCAAAAUGUUGCUGGUCCCAUGUAGAUUGGUCCAAAGAAUUCAAUUCCCGCAAGUCCCGCGCUAAAGAAUCUCCAAUUGCCAAAUUUCUCACCAAAAUUUAGGCUCCCUUAUUCAACAAAUUGAAUUUAACUUUAAAGAAUGGGUCCCACAGUGUGAUUGCAAAUUCCAAUAACUGCCAAUACACACUUCUAAUUACUCAACACAACCAAUUUUUUUAGUUAAAAGCACCUACAAUCACGCUUUCAGCACACGCUUCAGCUUUCACCAAUUUAGCUUAUACAUUUGCUUUCACUGAUUCUACUUUAAUUUCUUCAAUUAAUUGCGCACCUUGCUAGUACUUAAUUCACGCUGCACCUUCGACACACCAUUUCUCAUCAAAUUCUUCAAAUUCACGGACCCCACAAUUCACUGCAUCAGCUUCAAUCAAUUUGCAAUUCACAAAUUGAAUUCAAAUGCAGACAUACUCCUUUUUUAAAUUAAAAACUGCACCAAAAUGAUCAACAAUUUCAACCAAUUUGCAAUUCAAGAUGAUCACUGCACCAACAAAAACUAGAAAAUUGCAACUGCAGAAAAUUUGUCACCGUUUGAAUUCAAUCUCACAAUUUAUUUUUUAAAUACCAAUUCUAAUCACCAAUUCUCGGUCCAUCACUUCACGAAUAGCUCCUUCAAUACUUUUAUCAAACAGUUGACACACACACCUUAAUGCAUUAAACACUUGCACUCAACACCAAAUUCAUGCAAUCCAAAUCAUUUCGUGGCACAACUCAGAGCUUCAAUCAUGGUGGAUUGCACUCGUGAAGCCAAAUUUUGGAACAGAUCCACCUUAAUUGUUCUUCCGUUUCCAAACGAUUCUCAAUCAAUCAACCAAUUUCAUUCGCCAAUAAUUUCCAGAACCGUAAAUUCAGAAUUUCAAGGAGAACCGCACAACUAUUUUACUGAUAUUCAGCUGCACCGUUAAAUUGAUUAAGUGCAAAACUUCAAUUGCUAUGCUCACUGAAUAUAUCAAGCGUGUAAACUGUUUGUUAGAAAGCUUCAAAGAAAUUUUAAUUUGUAGAAAAUACAAGAAUUGAUUCUAAUCAGAAUUUUUUUUGAAACAUCUUUAUCAAAUGAAUUAAACUUUCAAACUCAGUGUAAUGCCGAAUUCAUCUGAUUUUUCAUAUGUAUGAAUUGUACCUUUUAAUCACGAAUAAACAAUUCCAGCAAAUGCUCAAUCGGUACAUCAGCAGAAAUUCUUCAGCGCCUUUCAAAUCGCGAUUCACUCAUUCGUCACUGCUUUGCUUCAUCAAAUUAAACCCGAUCAAGAUCAAUGUUUUGCUUCGAAAUCAACAUCUACUUCAGUCAUCUUCAACAUUUCGCCAGAAUGUGAAACUUAAUCCGCGAACGAUUAUAAUUCCUUUGAGAAUGCUCUUCGUUUGAGAUGACGAAGUUAAUCGGUCAGUUCUCCGUGCACUGAUUCUGUUUGUCGGAAAACCACUAAAACCUAUGUUCGCGAUUCUUCCAACACCUCAAUGUUUCUCCGUUUUGCUUCUUCACAGUUGCUCCAGGAAAACGAAGAACAAUGAACGCAAAAGGCAGAACCAAAAUUUUCGGAAUCGGAAUUGAAAGCAGAAGAAGAACUUACAUGAACCAAUUCCGACUAAGCACGAAAGGAACCGAAACUUUAGAUUCUGUUUUCUGACUUCCUAUUCCAGAUUCAAAUUCUCCUCCGGCGCCGUUCGCAGUUGAAGACGAAAUCAUACUCCCGAAGUCUUGUAGUGCGAAAACUGUGGAAGCGUCGCGCACCAAUUUCACUCACACUGGACUUGUUCCGAUUCCAAUUUCAUGAACACUCAGAAGAUGAAGAACAGCAACACAAAUCGCAGAGAAAAUUUGAGGAAAAUCUGAAAAUCUAAACCAAAUCUGCUAUUGGCAGCGCAGAUCCAACAAUUUUCAUAAACAGUUCACAUUACUGCUCACACCACUUGAUUUUCUUUUUGAACCACGAAAAAUUUUCGGACAAAUUUCGAGAACUUUCGAAAAUGAUUUUUGAAGAGAAUGAUAAUGGAAAGCUAACUCAAAGAAAAUUGUUGAUGAUCUAGUAGCAAUUUAUG